RNAcentral lists this ribosomal RNA (492 nucleotides) under uncultured bacterium. RNAcentral's name for it is "partial 16S ribosomal RNA". It matches the Rfam family "Bacterial small subunit ribosomal RNA", at positions 30 to 507 of the family's 1533-position model. The record is from RNAcentral.
AUUGAACGCUGGCGGCAUGCUUUACACAUGCAAGUCGAACGGUAACAGGCCUUCGGGUGCUGACGAGUGGCGAACGGGGGAGUAAUGCAUCGGAACGUGCCCAGAGGUGGGGGAUAACGCAGCGAAAGCUGUGCUAAUACCGCAUGUGAUCUGAGGAUGAAAGCGGGGGACCAAGCAGCAAUGUUUGGCCUCGCGCCUCUGGAGCGGCCGAUGUCAGAUUAGGUAGUUGGUGAGGUAAAGGCCUACCAAGCCGACGAUCUGUAGCUGGUCUGAGAGGACGACCAGCCACACUGGGACUGAGACACGGCCCAGACUCCUACGGGAGGCAGCAGUGGGGAAUUUUGGACAAUGGGCGCAAGCCUGAUCCAGCAAUGCCGCGUGCGGGAAGAAGGCCUUCGGGUUGUAAACCGCUUUUGUACGGAACGAAAAGGCUCUGGCUAAUACCUGGGGCUGAUGACGGUACCGUAAGAAUAAGCACCGGCUAACUACGUG